CGGAUAUGGCGAAAUUGGUAGACGCGUCAGACUUAGGAUCUGGUGCCGCAAGGCGUGUGGGUUCGAGUCCCUUUAUCCGC
This 80-nucleotide transfer RNA is filed under the name bovine gut metagenome. It matches the Rfam family "tRNA". From Rfam's summary of the family: Transfer RNA (tRNA) molecules are approximately 80 nucleotides in length. The record is from RNAcentral.